GGGCAUGAACUCCUCCCACUACUCC
RNAcentral lists this non-coding RNA (25 nucleotides) under Cricetulus griseus (Chinese hamster). Lineage: Eukaryota; Metazoa; Chordata; Mammalia; Rodentia; Cricetidae. The record is from RNAcentral.